UUGAUUGAAGCCAAAAAGAGGCUUAUCACUGUUAAUGAUAGAACUGAGCUUUUCCUCCUUUCAAA
Molecule: transfer RNA, 65 nt
Filed under: Cherax punctatus
Lineage: Eukaryota; Metazoa; Arthropoda; Malacostraca; Decapoda; Parastacidae
Description: tRNA-Asn
Source: RNAcentral